AUACGGAGGGUCCAAGCGUUAUCCGGAUUCAUUGGGUUUAAAGGGUGCGCAGGCGGGCUUGUAAGUCAGUAGUGAAAUACUGCCGCUUAACGGUAGAACUGCCAUUGAUACUGCAAGUCUUGAAUAUGGUUGAGGUAGGCGGAAUGUGUUGUGUAGCGGUGCAAUGCAUAGAUAUGACACAGAACGCCAAUUGCGAAGGCAGCUUACUAAGCCAUUAUUGACGCUGAGGCACGAAAGCGUGGGGAGCGAACAGGAUUAGAUACCCCGGUAGUCC
This 274-nucleotide ribosomal RNA is filed under the name uncultured bacterium. Its description in RNAcentral is "partial 16S ribosomal RNA". It matches the Rfam family "Bacterial small subunit ribosomal RNA", at positions 523 to 796 of the family's 1533-position model. The record is from RNAcentral.